UUUCCUACGGGACGCAGCAGUGAGGAAUAUUGGUCAAUGGGCGGGAGCCUGAACCAGCCAAGUCGCGUGAGGGAAGACGGUCCUAUGGAUUGUAAACUUCUUUAGGCGGGGAGCAAUGCCGGGCACGCGUGCCCGGAGGGAGAGUACACGCAGAAUAAGCAUCGGCUAACUCCGUGCCAGCAGCCGCGGUAAUACGGAGGAUGCGCGUGUUAUCCGGAUUUAUUGGGUUUAAAGGGCGCGUAGGCGGAUUUUUAAGUCAGCGGUAAAAUGUCCGGGCUCAAUCCGGGCCGGCCGUUGAAACUGGG
Molecule: ribosomal RNA, 305 nt
Filed under: uncultured bacterium
Lineage: Bacteria
Description: bacterial SSU rRNA
Rfam family: Bacterial small subunit ribosomal RNA
Source: RNAcentral